RNAcentral lists this ribosomal RNA (348 nucleotides) under Triticum aestivum (bread wheat). Its description in RNAcentral is "partial small subunit ribosomal RNA". Lineage: Eukaryota; Viridiplantae; Streptophyta; Magnoliopsida; Poales; Poaceae. The record is from RNAcentral.
AUGGAUGGUCAACCAACCUUCAGCAAGGGCGUGCAGUUGUCAGUGCAGACUUCCUUCGUUUGCUGUGCCCCCUACUCUGUUUUGUCCUUUUCUUUUCUUUCUUUUUUCUUUUCUGGAGAAGACUAUUCUCUUUUGCUGCUCCCAAAAUAUCUGUUUUUAUUUUUGCCGUAUAUAAUUUCCAAAACACCAUUAUCAUCGUUUGGCCCCCCAAAGUCAAGUCAUGAUCAUUUGCUUGGCUCCCCUUGGUCUGGUCCACAGGGGAAAAUGCUCGGAUAUUUCACAAGCAAAUCAAGGGCCACAAUAAUGGACGCGCCUAAUCUGCACCCGAGCUCAUAUGCUCCCGCAUGA